AUUGAACGCUGGCGGCAUGCUUUACACAUGCAAGUCGAACGGCAGCGCGGGCUUCGGCCUGGCGGCGAGUGGCGAACGGGUGAGUAAUGCAUCGGAACGUGCCCAGUAGUGGGGGAUAGCCCGGCGAAAGCCGGAUUAAUACCGCAUACGACCUGAGGGUGAAAGCGGGGGACCGAAAGGCCUCGCGCUAUUGGAGCGGCCGAUGUCGGAUUAGCUAGUUGGUGGGGUAAAGGCCUACCAAGGCGACGAUCCGUAGCUGGUCUGAGAGGACGACCAGCCACACUGGGACUGAGACACGGCCCAGACUCCUACGGGAGGCAGCAGUGGGGAAUUUUGGACAAUGGGGGCAACCCUGAUCCAGCCAUGCCGCGUGCGGGAAGAAGGCCUUCGGGUUGUAAACCGCUUUUGUUCGGGAAGAAAACCUCUGGGCUAAUACCCCGGGGGGAUGACGGUACCGGAAGAAUAAGCACCGGCUAACUACGUG
RNAcentral lists this ribosomal RNA (484 nucleotides) under uncultured bacterium. RNAcentral describes it as "partial 16S ribosomal RNA". It matches the Rfam family "Bacterial small subunit ribosomal RNA", at positions 29 to 507 of the family's 1533-position model. The record is from RNAcentral.